This 2595-nucleotide long non-coding RNA is filed under the name Homo sapiens (human). Its description in RNAcentral is "non-protein coding lnc-ATG3-1:1". The record is from RNAcentral. Lineage: Eukaryota; Metazoa; Chordata; Mammalia; Primates; Hominidae.
UUCGAUAUUGGGAGAAAUAUCCUCUCCCCAUUGGGAUAUUAGGAACAAUAUCCCAGGGGGAUGUCCACCCUCUGCGAUAUUGGGAGUAAUAUCAUCCUCUAUUUCCCUGGAUGUUAGACACAAUAUCACAAAAAGGUGUACACCCCCUGUGAUAUUGGGAGUAAUAUCCUCUCCUUCCCUGGAUAUUAGAAAACAAUAUCAUCAGGGGUGAACACCCCCUGCGAUAAUGGGAAUAAUAUUUUCUCUUUCACAGGCCAUUAGGAACAAUAUCACAGGGGGUGUUUACAUACCUUGCGAUAUUGGAGGUAAUAUUCUCUGCCCCCCCCCCCCCCCCCGGAAUAUUACCAACAAUAUCAAACAGGGGUGGUGUACACCCCCUGUGAUAUUGGGAUUAAUGUCAUUCUCUCCACCCCUGGAUAUUAAGAACAAUAUCACGGCGGGGGGUGGUACACCCCCAGUGAUAUUGGGAAUAAUGUUAUCCUCUCCUUCCCUGGAUAUUAGGAACAACAUCACAGGGGGGUGUACACCUUCUGUGAUAUUGGAAGCAAUAUUAUCCUCUCCCCAGCUGGAUAUUAGAAAAAAUAUCACACAUGAUGUACACCCACUGUGAUAUUAGGAAGAAUAUUACAGGGUGUACACCCACUCUGACUUUAGGAGAAAUAGCUCCCUAAAAUAUCACAAGCAGUAUCACAGGGUAUACGGUAAUAUCUCCCUAGGGUAUUACAAAUACUAUCACAGGGUGUACACCCACUGUGAUAACAGGAGUAAUAUGUCCCAAGGAUAUUACGAAUAAUAUCACAGGCUGUACACCCACUAUGACAUAAGGAGUGAUAUCUCCUUAGGAUAUUACAAAUAACAUCACGGAAUGUACACCCAUGGUGUGCACCUACCCUGAUAUUAGGAGUAAUAUCUACCCAGGACAUAACCAGUAAUAGCACAGGGUGUACAUACAUGACGUACACCCACUGUGAUGUUAUGAGAACUGUCUCCCUAGGAUAUUACGAAUGACAUCACAGAGUGUACACACAUGGUAUACACCCACUGUGGCACUAGGAAUAAUAACUUUCUAAGAUACUACGAAUAGCAUCACAGAAUAUAAACACAUGGUGUACACCCACUGUAACAUUAGGCGUAAUUUCUCCCUAGGGUAUUAUGAGUAACAUCUAAGUGUGUACACACAUGGUGUACACCCACUGUGACAUUAAGGGUAAUAUCCCCCUAGGAUAUUACGAAUAACAUCACAGGGUCUUCACACAUUGUGUACACGCACUGUAAUAUUAGGAAUAAUAUCUCUGUAGGGUAUUAUGAAUAAUAUCACAGGGUGUACAGCCACUGUGAUAUUAGAGGUAAUAUAUCUCUAAGAUAUUAUGAAUAGUAUCACAGGGUGUACACCCACUCUGAUAUUGGGAGCAAUAUCUCUCUAGGAUAUUACAAAUAAUAUCACAGAGUGUACACCCACUGUGAUAUUAGGAGAAAUAUCUCUCUGGGAUAUUACGAAUUAUAUCACAGAGUAUACACACAUGGUGUACACCCACUUUGAUAUUAGGAGUAAUAUCUUCCUAGGACAUUACAAAUUAUAUCACAGUGUACACCCACUGUAAUAUUAGGAGUCAAAUCUCUCUAGCUUAUUACAAAUAAUAUCACAGGGUGUACACCCACUGUGAUAUUAGGAGUAAUAUCUUCCUAGGGUAUUAUGAAUAAUUUCAGAGGGUGUACACAUAUGGUGUACACUCACUGUGAUAUUAGGAGUGAUAUCUACCUAGUAUAUAACAAAUCACAGGGUGUACACCCACUUUGAUAUUAGCUGUAAUAUUUUUCUAAGUUGUUACAAAUAAGAUCACAGGGUGUACAAACAUGGUGUACACUCACUGUGAUAUCAGGAGUUGUAUCUCUGUAAGAUAUUAUGAAUAAUAUCACAGGGUGUACACCCACUGUAUUAUUAGGAGUAAUAGUUCUGUAGGAUAUUACAAUUAAUAUCACAGGGUGUACACCCACUGUGAUAUUAGGAGCAAUAUCUUUCUAGGAUAUUACAAAUAAUAUCACAGGGUGUACGCCCACUCUGAUGUCAGGAGCAAUAUCUCUCUAGGAUAUCAAAAAUAAUAUCACAGGGUGUACAAUCUCUGCCUUCCAGGUUCUAAGGGAUUCUCCUGCUUCAGCCUCCUGAGUAGCUAGGGUUACCUGCCACCACGCCUGGCUAAUUUAUUUUCACUAGAGACUGGUUUCACCAUGUUCGCCAGGCUGGUCUGGAACUCCUGACCUCAGGUGAUCCAUCAGCCUCGGCCUCCCAAAGUGCUGGGAUUACAGGUGUGAGCCAUCACGCUCGGCCAAGAGUUAUAUAUUCAAUUAAUUUGGAAACACAGCUCCCAUAUUUGAGUGUGCAUGUACUUUUAUGAAGAAAUGAUGUCAGAAAACCUAAGGAUGAUAAUUAAUAUGAAAAGUAACUGGCAUGUUAAAAGGUCUUCCGAUUAAGAACUGUAUAAGGUUUGAUUUCGUUUUUAGAUAAUGCUGUCCUAGCUCUUGUAUCGUCCUUUUAAAUAUUCUACAUCAAAGGAAUUUGUAGCACAGUGUCAGAAUAAAAAAGGUGUAUUUCACUGC